UACGGAGGGUGCAAGCGUUAUCCGGAUUCACUGGGUUUAAAGGGUGCGUAGGCGGGCAGGUAAGUCCGUGGUGAAAUCUCUGAGCUUAACUCAGAAACUGCCAUGGAUACUAUUUGUCUUGAAUGUUGUGGAGGUAAGCGGAAUAUGUCAUGUAGCGGUGAAAUGCUUAGAUAUGACAUAGAACACCAAUUGCGAAGGCAGCUCACUACGCGAAUAUUGACACUGAGGCACGAAAGCGUGGGGAUCAAACAGG
Molecule: ribosomal RNA, 253 nt
Filed under: uncultured bacterium
Lineage: Bacteria
Description: partial 16S ribosomal RNA
Rfam family: Bacterial small subunit ribosomal RNA
Source: RNAcentral